AUUGAACGCUGGCGGCAGGCUUAACACAUGCAAGUCGAGCGGUAACAGAGAGAAGCUUGCUUCUCUGCUGACGAGCGGCGGACGGGUGAGUAAUGCCUAGGAAUCUUCCUAGUAGUGGGGGAUAACUUGCCGAAAGGUAAGCUAAUACCGCAUACGUCCUACGGGAGAAAGGAGGGGACCUUCCGGCCCUUCGCUAUUAGAUGAGCCUAGGUAGGAUUAGUUAAUUGGUGAGGUAAUGGCUCACCAAGACCGCGAUCCGUAACUGGUCUGAGAGGAUGAUCAGUGACACUGGAACUGAGACACGGUCCAGACUCCUACGGGAGGCAGCAGUGGGGAAUAUUGGACAAUGGGGGGAACCCUGAUCCAGCCAUGCCGCGUGUGUGAAGAAGGUCUUAGGAUUGUAAAGCACUUUAAGUUGGGAGGAAGAGCAGUUAACUAAUAUUUGACUGUUUUGACGUUACCGACAGAAUAAGCACCGGCUAACUUCGUGCCAGCCGCCGCAGUAA
This 506-nucleotide ribosomal RNA is filed under the name uncultured bacterium. RNAcentral describes it as "partial 16S ribosomal RNA". It matches the Rfam family "Bacterial small subunit ribosomal RNA", at positions 30 to 523 of the family's 1533-position model. The record is from RNAcentral.